This 27-nucleotide non-coding RNA is filed under the name Homo sapiens (human). Lineage: Eukaryota; Metazoa; Chordata; Mammalia; Primates; Hominidae. The record is from RNAcentral.
UGCUUCUCAAACUUGAGCUCCCCUGAG